This 2820-nucleotide long non-coding RNA is filed under the name Homo sapiens (human). RNAcentral describes it as "HSALNT0081739". The record is from RNAcentral. Lineage: Eukaryota; Metazoa; Chordata; Mammalia; Primates; Hominidae.
AUCAGCUUAUCUAGUAUACAAAUCCUCUUGGUAUUUUUCUUGGGAUCAUGUUAAAAUAUAGAUAAACAAACAUAACUAUUACACUUAUGAAGUUAAUUUUUGUAUCUAAGAGCUUUAUGUGUUUUCCUGUUUGUUGAAAAAUUCCUUCUUGUCCCUUAGUAUUUCAAUGUUUUCUGCAUGCAGAUUUUAAAUGCUUCUUUAUCACUAAAUAGUUUAUUUUCUGUUGCUAUUGUAAAUAAGGUCUUCUCUAUUAUGUCUUCUGGUUGGUUAUUUUUAUAUUCUAAAGCACCAGAUUUGUAUUGGUAUUUGGCAUUAAUUUCAUACCCAGGUACUUGACUGAAUUCACUUAUUUAUUUAGAUUUUUAAAUUGAUUAUGGGUGGAAAUUCUAGUAUACAAUUAUAUCUAAAUAACAAUGAUUUUACCUUCUUUCCAAUGUUUAAACAUAUAUUUCUCUCAUUGAAUUUUUUUUUUUUUAAGACAGAAUUUCGCUCUUGUCGCACAGCUGGAGUGCAAUGGCAGGCUGGAGUGCAAUGGCACCGUCUCAGCUCACUGCAACCUCCACCUCCCAGAUUCAAGCAAUUCUCCUGCCUCAGCCUCCCAAAUAGCUGGGAUUAUAGGCAUCCACCACCAUGCCUGGGUAAUUUUUGUAUUUUAGUAGAGACGGGGUUUCACCAUGUUGACCAGGCUGGUUUUCUCUCAUUUAAUUAUAUUGCUUUGUAGCAGGAUGGGCUGCAGGCAAAACUCCUCAGACACCGGCUGAAAGAGGGAAGAGGCUUUAUUUAGCUGGGAACCUUGGCAGACUUGCAUCUCAAGAACCAAGCUCCCUGAAGAAAAAAUUCCUGGCCUUUUUGAGAGGGACAGGAAACAGUAAGAGAAAUGGCGUAUCUCCUCAGCUUAAGAUAGUACUUGCCAGGCAGGGUGGCUCACACCUGUAAUCCCAGCACUUUGGGAGGCUGAGGUGGGUGGAUCAUGAGGACAGGAGUUCAAGACCAUCCCGACCAACAUGGUGAAAACCCCAUCUCUACUAAAAAUACAAACAUUAGGUGGGCGUGGUGGCACGCGCAUGUAAUCCCAGCUACUCAGGAGGCUGAGGCAGGAGAAUUGCUUGAACCUGGGAGGCGAAGGUUGUAGUGAGCCGAGAUCGCGGCAUUGCACUCCAGCCUGGGCAACAGAACAAGACUCCAUCCCCCCACCAAAAAAAAAGUGCUUAUCUUGUCCAUAACUUAGCAGGAGUGUUUCAAUAUUACAUCCACGCUGUUUCCAUAUUAAACAGAUUCUUUGUGGUUGAGAUAAAUAUAUUUCAUUAUGCUAACAACGUAUUUGUAUACUCCUGUUAAGAACUUACAUCAAGUAUGAAUAUGGAAUUUUUCCAAUGUCUUUGAUAGCUUUUUUAGACAUGAGUAGUUAUGUGCUGCAUGACGAUGUUUUGGUAACAAUGGACCAUGUAUACCGUGGUGGUCCCAUAAGAUUAUAAUGGAGCUGAAAAACUCCUAUCACCUAGUGCUAUCAUAGCCAUCAUAACACAAUGCAUUACUCACGUGUUUGUGAAGAUGUUGGUGUAAAGAAACCUACAGAACUGCCGGUCAUCUAAAAGUAUAGCACAUACAAUCAUGCACAGCACAUAAUGAAAGGCUUGAUAAUAAAGGGAUAUGUUAUUGGCUUAUGUAUUUACUAUCCUAUAUUUUUCAUUGUUAUUUUUGAGUGUACUCCUGCUUUGCGGUGUCUCACGCCUGUAAUUCUAUCACUUGGGGAGGCCAAAGCCGGCGGAUCACUUGAGGUCAGAAGUUUGAGCCUGACCUGGCCAACAUGGUGAAACUCCGUCUCUAUUUAAAAUACAAAAAUUAGCCAGGUAUAGUGGCGAAUGCCUGUAGUCCCAGCUACUUGGGAGGCUGUGGCAGGAGAAUCGCUUGAACCCAGGAGGUGGAGGUUGCAGUGAGCUGAGAUCACACCAUUGCACUCCAGCCUGGGCAACAGAGCAAGACUGCAUCACAAAAAAAAGGAAAGAAAGCUGUAGAAUAGCCUCAGGCAGGACCUUUAGGAGUUAUUCCAGAAGAAGGCAUGUUAUUACAGGAGAUGACAAGCUGUAGGAGUGGAAGGCAGUGAUACCGAUCAUCCUGGCCCUGUGUAGGCCUAGGCUAAUGUGUGUGUUUGUCUUAGUUUUUAGCAAAAAAUGUUUUAAAAGUAAAAACAUAAAAAAUAAAAAUUUUAAAAAACAUGAAAAAGCUUAUAAAUAUGUUUGCACAGCUAUGCAAUGUUUUCAUGUUUUAAGCUUUUAUUACAAAAAAGUUUAAAAAAUUAAACUCGAUAAAGUAAGUUACAGUAGCCAAAGGUUAAUUUAUUAUUGAAGAAAGAAAAAUUAUUGUUUAUACAUUUAGCAUAGCCUGCGUGUACAGUGUUUAUAAAGUCUAUACCCAUGCCCAGUAAUGUCCUGGGCCCUCACACUCACUCCCCACUCACUCGCUCACUCACCCAGAGCCACUUCCAGUCCUGCAAGCUCCAUCCAUGGUGAGUGCUCUGUGAAGGCGUUCGUUCUUUAUCUUUUGUACCAUAUUUUUACUGUACCUUUUCUAUGUUUAGCUAUAUUUAGAUAUACAAAUACUUAGCAUUGUAUUACAGUUGCUUACAGUAUUGAGCACAGUCACAUGUUGCACAGGUUUGUAGUCUAGGAGCAGUAGGCCAUACCUAUAGGCCAGACCAUAGAUCCUAGGUGUGUAGAAGGCUCUACCAUCUAGGUUUGCGUAGGUACAUGCUAUGAUGUUUGCACAAUGACAAAAUUGCCUGACACAUUUCUCAGAGCAUAUCUCCAUCAUUAAGUGAUA